GGGGAUUUAGCUCAGUGGUAGAGCGCUUGCCUAGCAAGCGAAAGGCCCUGGGUUCGGUCCCCAGCCCCG
RNAcentral lists this transfer RNA (69 nucleotides) under Rattus norvegicus (Norway rat). It matches the Rfam family "tRNA". From Rfam's summary of the family: Transfer RNA (tRNA) molecules are approximately 80 nucleotides in length. Their secondary structure includes four short double-helical elements and three loops (D, anti-codon, and T loops). The record is from Rfam by way of RNAcentral. Lineage: Eukaryota; Metazoa; Chordata; Mammalia; Rodentia; Muridae.